ACUUGAAUAGCUUAUUUAGAGUAUAAUAUUGAAGAUAUUAAGGAGAUUUAUUAAUUUUUAAGUA
Molecule: transfer RNA, 64 nt
Filed under: Ceratocanthus sp. CER01
Lineage: Eukaryota; Metazoa; Arthropoda; Insecta; Coleoptera; Hybosoridae
Description: tRNA-Phe
Source: RNAcentral